Molecule: long non-coding RNA, 894 nt
Filed under: Elaeis guineensis (African oil palm)
Lineage: Eukaryota; Viridiplantae; Streptophyta; Magnoliopsida; Arecales; Arecaceae
Description: long non-coding RNA (EGUI_LNC046716)
Source: RNAcentral
UGUAGAUAUAUAUUUGAGACAGUCUGUUUUGUGCUCAAUAAUAUUUCGAACAAGUUAGUUAGUACAACAUCAUAUGAGAUAUGUUAGGGCGUAGGCCAAACCUCACUUACCUUAAGGUCUGGGGGUGUCUGACUUAUGUCAAACAAUUAUAAACCGACAAGCUCAGACCUAGAUCCAAUAAGCAUAAUUUUGUAGGGUACCCUAAGAAAAUGAGGGGAUAUUACUUUUGUAGGAACCAGAUCUAGGGUUUCAGGGUUAGAUCUUGAAACUUUUUCAAGAUCAUACAGCGGAAGACUAAAAUAAAUUAAAAUUUAUUUUCUAAAAUCAAAAAAUCCCUAGAUCUAAGAUCCUAUUAUAUGACUAUUACAUAGCAUUAAAUCAAAAAUUAAAAUAUAUAAAUAUAGCAUGAACUACAUGUUGAUCAUAUCAACAUGUUUCUAUACUACAUCUAAUGUAUGUAUUAAACAAUAGAUCAGAUUUGUUACCUUGCAAGUUAGACGUUCUAACCUUGUUGAUCUGGGCUUGAGGAUGAUGUUGCAAGCCGCACAUGUGUUCGGCCUCUAGGAGUCGUCCACACGAGCCCACGAAUCUCGAUCAGAAGUCCUGCUUCAGGAAAUCAGCACAGUAUGCUAGUACUGUGCUGAUCCUUCUUUGAUGGUUGAUCAGGUGCCUCCUUCUUCUUGAUUUAGACUCUUCCAAAGAUGGAAAGUAGAAGGAGGAGUUUCAGAUCUGAGACGCUCUCAGAAAACUCAAGAUGGAGGGAGGAAAGAUAUGAAAACAAAAACCCUAGAAGAAGACCCUCUUCUUCUUCACGUUUUUCUCUCUAGACACCCAAACUUGCAUCUUUUAUAUCUCCAUGACCCAAAAUUAUUUCUCUCUUAUUUUUGGAUGGCA